GAUGAACGCUGGCGGCGUGCCUAAUACAUGCAAGUCGAGCGGACAAACGAUGAUCUUGCUCCUCUGACAUUUGCGGCGGACGUGUGAGUAACCCGUGGAUAAACUACCUAUAAGACUGGGAUAUCUUCGGGAAUCCGGGGCAAAUACCGCAUAAUAUAUUGAAUCGCAUUGUUCAAUAGUGAAAGUCGGUUUUGAUGUCACUUAUAGAUGGAUCCGCGCCGCAUUAGCUUGUUGGUGAGGUAACGGCUUACCAAGGCAACGGUGCGUAUCCGACAUCAGAGGGUGAUCGGCCACACUGGAAGUGAGACAGGGUGCAGACUCCUAAGGGAGGACGCAGGAGGGAAUCUUCCGCAAUGGGGGAAUGCCUGACGGAGCACCGCCGGGGAAGUGAUGAAGGUCCUCGGAUGGUAAAACUCUGUUAUUAGGGAAGAAGAAAUGUGUAAGUAACUAUGCACGUCUUGACGGUACCUGAUCAGAAAGCCACGGCUAACUACGUG
RNAcentral lists this ribosomal RNA (497 nucleotides) under uncultured bacterium. RNAcentral's name for it is "partial 16S ribosomal RNA". It matches the Rfam family "Bacterial small subunit ribosomal RNA", at positions 28 to 507 of the family's 1533-position model. The record is from RNAcentral.